CGUAGGGUGCGAGCGUUAAUCGGAAUUACUGGGCGUAAAGCGUGCGCAGGCGGUUGGCAAAGUCAGCUGUGAAAGCCCCGGGCUUAACCUGGGAAUGGCGGUUGAAACUAGUCGACUAGAAUCUGGCAGAGGGGGGUGGAAUUCCACGUGUAGCAGUGAAAUGCGUAGAGAUGUGGAGGAACACCGAUGGCGAAGGCAGCCCCCUGGGCUGAGAUUGACGCUCAGGCACGAAAGCGUGGGGAGCAAACAGGAUUAGAUACCCUGGUAGUCCACGCCCUAAACGAUGUCAACUAGGUGUUGGGAGCGCAAGUUCUCAGUACCGCAGCUAACGCGUGAAGUUGACCGCCUGGGGAGUACGGUCGCAAGAUUA
This 370-nucleotide ribosomal RNA is filed under the name uncultured organism. RNAcentral describes it as "bacterial SSU rRNA". It matches the Rfam family "Bacterial small subunit ribosomal RNA", at positions 526 to 896 of the family's 1533-position model. The record is from RNAcentral.